AUUGAACGCUGGCGGCAGGCUUAACACAUGCAAGUCGAGCGGGGUGAUGGUGCUUGCACUAUCACUUAGCGGCGGACGGGUGAGUAAUGCUUAGGAAUCUGCCUAUUAGUGGGGGACAACAUCUCGAAAGGGAUGCUAAUACCGCAUACGUCCUACGGGAGAAAGCAGGGGAUCACUUGUGACCUUGCGCUAAUAGAUGAGCCUAAGUCGGAUUAGCUAGUUGGUGGGGUAAAGGCCUACCAAGGCGACGAUCUGUAGCGGGUCUGAGAGGAUGAGCCGCCACACUGGGACUGAGACAGGGCCCAGACUCCUACGGGAGGCAGCAGUGGGGAAUAUUGGACAAUGGGGGGAACCCUGAGCCAGCCAUGCCGCGUGUGUGAAGAAGGCCUUAUGGUUGUAAAGCACUUUAAGCGAGGAGGAGGCUCUUUUGGUUAAUACCCAAGAUGAGUGGACGUUACUCGCAGAAUAAGCACCGGCUAACUCUGUGCCAGCCGCCGCCGUAA
RNAcentral lists this ribosomal RNA (503 nucleotides) under uncultured bacterium. Its description in RNAcentral is "partial 16S ribosomal RNA". It matches the Rfam family "Bacterial small subunit ribosomal RNA", at positions 30 to 523 of the family's 1533-position model. The record is from RNAcentral.